This 500-nucleotide ribosomal RNA is filed under the name uncultured bacterium. RNAcentral describes it as "partial 16S ribosomal RNA". It matches the Rfam family "Bacterial small subunit ribosomal RNA", at positions 30 to 523 of the family's 1533-position model. The record is from RNAcentral.
ACUGAACGCUGGCGGCAGGCCUAACACAUGCAAGUCGAGCGGAUGACGGGAGCUUGCUCCUUGAUUCAGCGGCGGACGGGUGAGUAAUGCCUAGGAAUCUGCCUGGUAGUGGGGGACAACGUUUCGAAAGGAACGCUAAUACCGCAUACGUCCUACGGGAGAAAGCAGGGGACCUUCGGGCCUUGCGCUAUCAGAUGAGCCUAGGUCGGAUUAGCUAGUUGGUGGGGUAAUGGCUCACCAAGGCGACGAUCCGUAACUGGUCUGAGAGGAUGAUCAGUCCAACUGGAAAUGGGACACGGUCCAGACUCCUACGGGAGGCAGCAGUGGGGAAUAUUGGACAAUGGGCGAAAGCCUGAUCCAGCCAUGCCGCGUGUGUGAAGAAGGUCUUCGGAUUGUAAAGCACUUUAAGUUGGGAGGAAGGGCAGUAAGUUAAUACCUUGCUGUUUUGACGUUACCGACAGAAUAAGCACCGGCUAACUCUGUGCCAGCCGCCGCCGUAA